RNAcentral lists this long non-coding RNA (1816 nucleotides) under Pan troglodytes (chimpanzee). Its description in RNAcentral is "long non-coding RNA NONPTRT006335". Lineage: Eukaryota; Metazoa; Chordata; Mammalia; Primates; Hominidae. The record is from RNAcentral.
CCGGAAGACAGAAGGGCCCAUGGAUGGGCAGGGGAAGGAAGAAGAUGCGGGUUCCCAAAGGCGCGUGGUGGCGAGGUGAGGCGCGGCGCGGCGCGGGGCUGUGAGGCUCCGGAGGUGUCCCAGUCCAAGGUGGCCAGAGGCUCAAUGUGACGUCACGGUAAUCCCGGGCCGCCAGACGGGACCCCGGGCCCCGGGACCCUGGGCCACCAAGCGUGCCAAGCGCAGCCAGCCCGUGCGCGCGCGCGCACUCUCAUCCACACUCACACUUGCUCCGGGAGGUUUGUGCAGCUGGCGAGGAACGUCAAAAACCCUGACCCUCUCUGCUCGGCGCUGAAUCCUACCCCUUUUCGCCUGGAGCUCACGCGCGCGCGCACACACACACAACCUCUCUAAAUUACCCGGGAGAAGUAGGAGAAACGCCUCCCUCUGAGCCGCGCAGGCCCCGGGCGCAGCGCGCUCACCUCCUCCCCUGCGGCCCGGAGGAGGCGAGAGGCAACCGGGACGGCGAGGGAGGAGAGAAUACAAAAGAAGAGACAGGAGAAAAGUGGGGGAGAAAGCUUCUAUCAAAAUACUUCCCAAGGAGGAAGGCCUGCCAUGUCUCCUCUGGCUUCCCAGCCUUGCAAGACCUUGAUUUAACAUUUCCUUCCCAGGGAGAGGCUGCACCCACGAAACCUCAGGUGAGAAGAUGUCUGUUUCUUGGAAAAUCGGAUUGAGGGGAAGCUGCAGUGGAAUUUGCUUUUGUCCUCCUGACGGUUCACAGACUCCCACUUCAGCAGCCUUGGGCUUCUCCACCCCGGCAGCUUUUCAUUGCUUUGUUCAGCACUGAUUAAUUUAGUUUCGGAGAAAAAGCCCCAAUUGUAUAUGUGUACACAUAGAAUUUUAUUGAAGCAAGUAAAUAAAUCCAUCAAAUAUAGACACUCCCAGUUAUAUUUAAGGGAGUCAUUCCACCUAAAGUAUUUUAAACAAAUGAUAGAGAUUCUUUUGUUGUACUGUGCAACAUGCCUGAUAGUUCCUCUAGCUGCUCAUUAAAACAAAUGUGAAACAAAUUAAACAAUCAAAAGCCUAUCUGUACCAGAGAGUACUAAUCCACAUUGUUUAUUUGAAGCUCUUAUUGCUUUGCUUCAAAUGCACUGAAGUUCCUGAGCAGGCGGAGUAAAGUAUGUAUGUUUCACAAUAAGCUUGCAUGCAGGUACCACAAAAAACAAACAAACAAUAAAAGAGGAAAAACAAACUGUAUUUCAUUAUUUUGGCUUAAAAAUGUCUAUGAUUUUCUAAUGAUUUAUAAAGACAGCAGAUUUUACAGGGGAGAAAUAUAACCUGGAAAUGCCCCAAAUCAACUUCAAAUGCCUCAAAUCCCAGAUGGAAUGAGCGAGUACAUGAACAUAAUAACAGAGUUGAAAAUGUGCUAAGUUAUAUUUUUUAAGUAUGGAUUUUUUAGUGACUGUUUUUGAACUGAGAAGAAUAAAAUUUCCUCAAAUCUAUGCAUGAAUGAACAAGUGCAUCUGGACAGAUGCAUCUAUAAUUUAUACUGAUCAGUCACCGCAGGUCUCAUGGAGUAAAGCCGAAAUGAACACUAAUUGUUUUGACGGAAGUAGUGUGCAUGGCAUCUGAUUGUGAAAUGCAGUGAGUCCCUGCCUUGCCUGAAUACAUAUUGUCAACAGCAACUCUGGCAUCAGGAGGGGAAAAUAAAAAGACAAUAAUUCCCAGAUGAGAGUGUUGAAGCCUCUUGUCAAAAAGGUGCCAAAUAGAAAGAAAGAAUUAACUUCUUCGGGACAAAGUAAAAAAUAAGACUGAAUGAAGAGGUCUUGGUUUGACA